AGACGGAGGGUGCAAGCGUUGUUCGGAAUUACUGGGCGUAAAGAGCGUGUAGGCGGUUUGAUAAGUCGAGUGUGAAAGCCCGAGGCUCAACUUCGGAAGUGCACUCGAAACUGUCAGGCUUGAGUACGGGAGAGGGAAGUGGAAUUCCUGGUGUAGAGGUGAAAUUCGUAGAUAUCAGGAGGAACACCGGUGGCGAAGGCGGCUUCCUGGACCGAUACUGACGCUGAGACGCGAAAGCGUGGGGAGCAAACAGGAUUAGAUACCCUGGUAGUCCACGCCGUAAACGGUGAGCACUAGGUGUAGCGGGUAUUGACCCCUGCUGUGCCGCAGCUAACGCAUUAAGUGCUCCGCCUGGGGAGUACGGUCGCAAGAUUAAA
RNAcentral lists this ribosomal RNA (377 nucleotides) under uncultured bacterium. Its description in RNAcentral is "bacterial SSU rRNA". It matches the Rfam family "Bacterial small subunit ribosomal RNA", at positions 523 to 898 of the family's 1533-position model. The record is from RNAcentral.